This 374-nucleotide ribosomal RNA is filed under the name uncultured organism. RNAcentral's name for it is "partial 16S ribosomal RNA". It matches the Rfam family "Bacterial small subunit ribosomal RNA", at positions 527 to 896 of the family's 1533-position model. The record is from RNAcentral.
GUAGGUGGCAAGCGUUGUCCGGAAUUAUUGGGCGUAAAGCGCGCGCAGGCGGUCCUUUAAGUCUGAUGUGAAAGCCCACGGCUCAACCGUGGAGGGUCAUUGGAAACUGGGGGACUUGAGUACAGAAGAGGAAAGCGGAAUUCCACGUGCAGCGGUGAAAUGCGUAGAGAUGUGGAGGAACACCAGUGGCGAAGGCGGCUUUCUGGUCUGUAACUGACGCUGAGGCGCGAAAGCGUGGGGAGCAAACAGGGAUUAGAUACCCUGGUAGUCCACGCCGUAAACGAUGAGUGCUAAGUGUUAGGGGGUUUCCGCCCCCUUAGUGCUGCGGCUAACGCAUUAAGCACUCCGCCUGGGGAGUACGGCCCGCAAGGCUG